Molecule: ribosomal RNA, 484 nt
Filed under: uncultured bacterium
Lineage: Bacteria
Description: partial 16S ribosomal RNA
Rfam family: Bacterial small subunit ribosomal RNA
Source: RNAcentral
AUUGAACGCUGGCGGCAUGCCUUACACAUGCCAGUCGAACGGCAGCACGGACUUCGGUCUGGUGGCGAGUGGCGAACGGGUGAGUAAUGUAUCGGAACGUACCUUUCAGUGGGGGAUAACGUAGCGAAAGUUACGCUAAUACCGCAUAUUCUGUGAGCAGGAAAGCAGGGGAUCGAAAGACCUUGCGCUGAUUGAGCGGCCGAUAUCAGAUUAGCUAGUUGGUGGGGUAAAGGCCUACCAAGGCGACGAUCUGUAGCGGGUCUGAGAGGAUGAUCCGCCACACUGGAACUGAGACACGGUCCAGACUCCUACGGGAGGCAGCAGUGGGGAAUUUUGGACAAUGGGGGCAACCCUGAUCCAGCCAUGCCGCGUGAGUGAAGAAGGCCUUCGGGUUGUAAAGCUCUUUCGGCCGGGAAGAAAUCGCAUAGGCUAAUACCCUGUGUGGAUGACGGUACCGGAAUAAGAAGCACCGGCUAACUACGUG